RNAcentral lists this ribosomal RNA (253 nucleotides) under uncultured bacterium. Its description in RNAcentral is "partial 16S ribosomal RNA". It matches the Rfam family "Bacterial small subunit ribosomal RNA", at positions 524 to 776 of the family's 1533-position model. The record is from RNAcentral.
UACGUAGGGUGCAAGCGUUAUCCGGAAUUAUUGGGCGUAAAGCGCUCGUAGGCGGUUUGUCGAGUCUGCUGUGAAAGUCCGGGGCUCAACUCCGGAUCUGCGGUGGGUACGGGCAGACUAGAGUGAUGUAGGGGAGACUGGAAUUCCUGGUGUAGCGGUGAAAUGCGUAGAUAUUCGCAAGAACACCGAUGGCGAAGGCGGCUCACUGGGCCGAUACUGACGCUGAGGUGCGAAAGCGUGGGGAGCAAACAGG